GUAGGUGGCAAGCGUUGUCCGGAAUUAUUGGGCGUAAAGCGCGCGCAGGCGGUUCUUUAAGUCUGAUGUGAAAGCCCACGGCUCAACCGUGGAGAGUCAUUGGAAACUGGGGAACUUGAGUACAGAAGAGGAAAGCGGAAUUCCACGUGUAGCGGUGAAAUGCGUAGAGAUGUGGAGGAACACCAGUGGCGAAGGCGGCUUUCUGGUCUGUAACUGGCGCUGAGGCGCGAAAGCGUGGGGAGCAAACAGGAUUAGAUACCCUGGUAGUCCACGCCGUAAACGAUGAGUGCUAAGUGUUAGGGGGUUUCCGCCCCCCUUAGUGCUGCAGCUAACGCAUUAAGCACUCCGCCUGGGAGUACGGCCGCAAGGCUG
RNAcentral lists this ribosomal RNA (372 nucleotides) under uncultured organism. RNAcentral's name for it is "partial 16S ribosomal RNA". It matches the Rfam family "Bacterial small subunit ribosomal RNA", at positions 527 to 896 of the family's 1533-position model. The record is from RNAcentral.